This 447-nucleotide ribosomal RNA is filed under the name uncultured bacterium. RNAcentral's name for it is "partial 16S ribosomal RNA". It matches the Rfam family "Bacterial small subunit ribosomal RNA", at positions 330 to 794 of the family's 1533-position model. The record is from RNAcentral.
CCCAGACUCCUACGGGAGGCAGCAGUGGGGAAUAUUGCACAAUGGGGGAAACCCUGAUGCAGCGACGCCGCGUGAGCGAUGAAGUAUUUCGGUAUGUAAAGCUCUAUCAGCAGGGAAGAAAAUGACGGUACCUGACUAAGAAGCCCCGGCUAACUACGUGCCAGCAGCCGCGGUAAUACGUAGGGGGCAAGCGUUAUCCGGAUUUACUGGGUGUAAAGGGCGUGUAGCCGGGCUGACAAGUCAGAUGUGAAAUCCGGGGGCUCAACCCCCGAACUGCAUUUGAAACUGUUGGUCUUGAGUAUCGGAGAGGCAGGCGGAAUUCCUAGUGUAGCGGUGGAAUGCGUAGAUAUCGGGAGGAACACCAGUGGCGAAGGCGGCCUGCUGGACAUUAACUGACGCUGAGGCGCGAAAGCGUGGGGAGCAAACAGGAUUAGAUACCCGCGUACC